Molecule: ribosomal RNA, 497 nt
Filed under: uncultured bacterium
Lineage: Bacteria
Description: partial 16S ribosomal RNA
Rfam family: Bacterial small subunit ribosomal RNA
Source: RNAcentral
GAUGAACGCUGGCGGCGUGCCUAACACAUGCAAGUCGAACGGACAGACGACUUUCUUGCUGCUCUGACGUUAGGAGCGGAGGAGUGAGUAGUAAGUCGAUAGCCUCCCUCUACGACUUGGAUAACUACCGCAAGCCAGAGUUCCUACCAGGUGAUAUUUUGGACCGGUUGGUUCAUUAGUGUGAGACGGUUUUGGUUUCGCUUAUCGAUGGAUCCGCGGCGUAUUAGCUGGUUGGUAGGGUAACGGCUUACCAAGGCGGCGAUGCGUAGCCGACCUGAGAGGGGGGUGGGCGACAGUGGGAGUGAGGCGCCGCACAGACGCCUACGGGAGGCAGCAGUAGGGAAUAUUGGGCAACGGGGGGAAGACUGAUGAAGCAGCGACGCGUGGGUGAGGAAGGUCUUCGGAUGGUAAAACUCUGUUAUGGGGGAAGAACAAAUGCGUAAGUAACUAUGCAUGUCUUGACGGUAGCUGGUCAAGAAGCCCCGGCUAACUACGUG